CACACCGCCCGUCACACCAUGGGAGUGGGUUGUACCAGAAGUAGAUAGCUUAACCUUUUGGAGGGCGUUUACCACGGUAUGAUUCAUGACUGGGGUGAAGUCGUAACAAGGUAACCGUAGGGGAACCUGCGGUUGGAUCACCUCCUUACCAAAGA
Molecule: ribosomal RNA, 155 nt
Filed under: Haemophilus influenzae
Lineage: Bacteria; Pseudomonadati; Pseudomonadota; Gammaproteobacteria; Pasteurellales; Pasteurellaceae
Description: partial 16S ribosomal RNA
Rfam family: Bacterial small subunit ribosomal RNA
Source: RNAcentral